This 560-nucleotide ribosomal RNA is filed under the name uncultured bacterium. Its description in RNAcentral is "bacterial SSU rRNA". It matches the Rfam family "Bacterial small subunit ribosomal RNA", at positions 338 to 916 of the family's 1533-position model. The record is from RNAcentral.
CCUACGGGAGGCAGCAGUGGGGAAUAUUGGACAAUGGGCGAAAGCCUGAUCCAGCAAUGCCGCGUGAGUGAUGAAGGCCUUAGGGUUGUAAAGCUCUUUUACCAGGGAUGAUAAUGACAGUACCUGGAGAAUAAGCUCCGGCUAACUCCGUGCCAGCAGCCGCGGUAAUACGGAGGGAGCUAGCGUUAUUCGGAAUUACUGGGCGUAAAGCGUACGUAGGCGGUUAUUCAAGUCAGAGGUGAAAGCCCGGGGCUCAACCCCGGAACUGCCUUUGAAACUAGAUAACUAGAGUCUUGGAGAGGUUAGUGGAAUUCCGAGUGUAGAGGUGAAAUUCGUAGAUAUUCGGAAGAACACCAGUGGCGAAGGCGACUAACUGGACAAGUACUGACGCUGAGGUACGAAAGCGUGGGGAGCAAACAGGAUUAGAUACCCUGGUAGUACCACGCCGUAAACGAUAGAUAACUAGCUGUCCGGGCACUUGGUGCCUGGUGGCGCAGCUAACGCAUUAAGUUAUCCGCCUGGGGAGUACGGUCGCAGAUUAAACUCAAAGGAAUUGACGG